Molecule: ribosomal RNA, 307 nt
Filed under: uncultured bacterium
Lineage: Bacteria
Description: partial 16S ribosomal RNA
Rfam family: Bacterial small subunit ribosomal RNA
Source: RNAcentral
AGACAGCAGUAGCCGCGGUAAUACGGAGGGUGCAAGCGUUAAUCGGAAUUACUGGGCGUAAAGCGCACGCAGGCGGUUUGUUAAGUCAGAUGUGAAAUCCCCGAGCUUAACUUGGGAACUGCAUUUGAAACUGGCAAGCUAGGGUCUUGUAGAGGGGGGUAGAAUUCCAGGUGUAGCGGUGAAAUGCGUAGAGAUCUGGAGGAAUACCGGUGGCGAAGGCGGCCCCCUGGACAAGGACUGACGCUCAGGUGCGAAAGCGUGGGGAGCAAACAGGAUUAGAUACCCGAGUAGUCCCUGUCUCUUAUAU